This is a regulatory RNA element of Streptococcus sp. DD12, 136 nucleotides long. It matches the Rfam family "Ribosomal protein L10 leader". Rfam says of the family: This family is a putative r-protein leader autoregulatory structure found in B. subtilis and other low-GC Gram-positive bacteria. The record is from Rfam. Lineage: Bacteria; Bacillati; Bacillota; Bacilli; Lactobacillales; Streptococcaceae.
GGUUUUGAAUAAAACUGACCUAAGACAGUAGGGGAACGCUUGUUCAUAAGAUUCCUACCGAGGCACAAAACGUUUAUGAUCUAAUAACGUAUUGUACUUUCGUGUCUGGGUUUGGAUACGAUUUUUUUCGUUCCAG